Non-coding RNA from Aegilops tauschii subsp. strangulata, 1318 nucleotides. The record is from RefSeq and is a predicted model, not a curated record. NCBI's taxonomy places the organism in Eukaryota, Viridiplantae, Streptophyta, Magnoliopsida, Poales, Poaceae.
AAUAUUUUUGGUUACUUGGGAAUACGAUGAUGUUCUGGUGACGUGGAACAUGCUGAGAUUUGGACUUCAAUCCUUGAUUGUGCACGCGGAUUUCCGAAACGAGUAGAAGACUAAUAACUUCUACAACAUCAAAGAUCUCUGAGAUUUUAGAUUGCAGGGCCGCCGCCAUUGCUGAACACAAACGGGGAUCGAAGCAGGCCAAUCUCCGAGGUGGACCGGGCAACGGAUCGUGGAGAGGCGCCCAAGGAUUUUUUUUUUGCUUCUGUUGAUUGUGCCAUCCAAUUGGUUUAGACUUUUCACCAUUGCUAAUUACUAGGGGCGUAUGGGUGCCGGACCUGCAUGCACCUGCAGAUAUAAUAUGGAAAAUGACUGUCAUUUAGAAUUACUUCCAAGCUGCAUCGUCUAUCUGAAUGUCAGCCCGAAACCACUGGUUGGCACACAUAAAAUUUUGGAAGUUAAUGCAUUUCCACAAUAGAGAUGGGAAAUGGAUACAUCGUUGUCGUCCUUAAGUGAGCAGCCGAGGAGGAGCUCCUCCAUGCUGAUGAUGUGGAAGACAGAUACCCUGUCCGCGACGCCUGGUUCUGGCCUCAUAUACAUUGACUUCCUAUGUCAUCAGCAAAUGCAGUGGAGAAGAAGCCGGUUCACCACAUGAUCAUUUAAUUUGUUAUUGUUUUUUAACUAUUCCCUGUUGCAUGUAUAAUCAGAAAAAAUAAAACUCCUCCUUUCGGCCCAUACUAGGAGUCUGGAAGUGAUACUUUUGUGAGGAGUGCUGGAACAUGACUGGAUCAAGCGAGACAGAGAACAAUGGAUGAAAGAAAGAGAUCAGAAAAGGGAUUCACUCCUGACCACCUCAUACAUAUAUACAUGUUGAAAAUAUUGUUGAUUUUGAUUUAAAAAUGGCUAAAUUGGAGGAAAGCAUUUCUGCUACAUUCAUCGGCAAUACUGCACCAUAUACUAUAGAAGCUUGGGCCACUAAAUCAGCUGUUUCUAAUGGAUCUUCUUGGACUCAACAGUAUCAAUCUACUUCCCAGGCAUGUGGUUUAUUUUAUUCUUCAGCUCAAUGGAAAACCAUGGCAAGUUCUGUUUUACCUUUAGGGUGUUGUCAAAAUGAUUUCAAUGAGACCAAUUAAGUGAAUAGCCUAUGGAAAAAUGAUGACCUGUUGUUAAAAUGAAAUAAAAACAGAUAAACAGAAAAAUGAUGAUCUAUUGUUGAUUGUCUUCAACAGAAACAAACCUGUUCAUAGUUUUCUUGUGUUUUUUCUUCGAUGUGACUCUUUGCCUGACAUGUUGAUGUUACUAUGUAUCCAUAUUGGAUUUC